This 253-nucleotide ribosomal RNA is filed under the name uncultured bacterium. RNAcentral's name for it is "partial 16S ribosomal RNA". It matches the Rfam family "Bacterial small subunit ribosomal RNA", at positions 524 to 776 of the family's 1533-position model. The record is from RNAcentral.
UACGUAGGGUGCAAGCGUUAUCCGGAAUUAUUGGGCGUAAAGAGCUCGUAGGCGGUUUGUCGCGUCUGCUGUGAAAACUGGGGGCUCAACCCCCAGCCUGCAGUGGGUACGGGCAGACUAGAGUGCGGUAGGGGAGAUUGGAAUUCCUGGUGUAGCGGUGGAAUGCGCAGAUAUCAGGAGGAACACCGAUGGCGAAGGCAGAUCUCUGGGCCACUACUGACGCUGAGAAGCGAAAGCAUGGGGAGCGAACAGG